CUAAGGAUGCGCAACGAUCGAACAAAGGUGAAAGAGGUGUCUUCCGAAGUAUCAAAGUAUAUCCACUGGAACCAAAUGACAAGAGACUUAAUUAUGAACCACCUACAGAUUUACUUAGCAAGCUGUCCCUGGUUUCUGAAGUGAAAAAACCUGCAAAACUGCCAUCUAAGGUGCAGCCAAUUU
This is a long non-coding RNA of Arachis duranensis, 183 nucleotides long. RefSeq lists it as uncharacterized. The record is from RefSeq and is a predicted model, not a curated record. The transcript has 4 exons. Lineage: Eukaryota; Viridiplantae; Streptophyta; Magnoliopsida; Fabales; Fabaceae.